UACGAAGGGUGCAAACGUUGCUCGGAAUUAUUGGGCGUAAAGCGCACGUAGGCGGCUUUGCAAGUCGGAUGUGAAAUCCCUCGGCUUAACCAAGGAAGUGCAUCCGAAACUGCAGAGCUUGAGUACUUAAGAGGAUCGCGGAAUUCCCGGUGUAGAGGUGAAAUUCGUAGAUAUCGUGAGGAACACCAGUGGCGAAGGCGGCGAUCUGGGAAGAUACUGACGCUGAGGUGCGAAAGCGUGGGGAGCAAACAGG
Molecule: ribosomal RNA, 253 nt
Filed under: uncultured bacterium
Lineage: Bacteria
Description: partial 16S ribosomal RNA
Rfam family: Bacterial small subunit ribosomal RNA
Source: RNAcentral